RNAcentral lists this ribosomal RNA (250 nucleotides) under uncultured bacterium. RNAcentral's name for it is "partial 16S ribosomal RNA". It matches the Rfam family "Bacterial small subunit ribosomal RNA", at positions 524 to 773 of the family's 1533-position model. The record is from RNAcentral.
UACGUAGGGGCCCAGCGUUGUCCGGAUUUAUUGGGCGUAAAGCGCGCGCAGGCGGCCCGGUGUGCCGCCCGUGAAAUCCCCCGGCUCAACCGGGGGGGGUCGGGCGGGACUGCCGGGCUGGAGGCGGGUAGGGGGAAGCGGAAUUCCCGGUGUAGUGGUGGAAUGCGUAGAGAUCGGGAGGAACACCAGUGGCGAAGGCGGCUUCCUGGACCCGGCCUGACGCUGAGGCGCGAAAGCGUGGGGAGCGAUC